GUGGCUGUAGCUCAGUCGGUAGAGCCCCGGAUUGUGAUUCCGGUUGUCGUGGGUUCAAGUCCCAUCAGCCACC
RNAcentral lists this transfer RNA (73 nucleotides) under Pseudidiomarina salinarum. It matches the Rfam family "tRNA". From Rfam's summary of the family: Transfer RNA (tRNA) molecules are approximately 80 nucleotides in length. Their secondary structure includes four short double-helical elements and three loops (D, anti-codon, and T loops). RNAcentral also lists the same sequence under 1 other name. Lineage: Bacteria; Pseudomonadati; Pseudomonadota; Gammaproteobacteria; Alteromonadales; Idiomarinaceae. The record is from Rfam by way of RNAcentral.